CGAGGACGAGGACAAGGACGAGGACGAGGACAGAGAGAGGGGAAACGCGGAGCUCCUUCAACUCGCGUUGUCCGGUGAGAAGUAAGCAAGCAGGAACUGACAGGAGGCUCCGGGAGCCCUCGCCUCCUUUCGCUUUUUUACCUGCCAAUCAAACCGCUAGAAGACAACACCCUGAUCUGGCAUGGACAUACUACAGGACCUACAAGAUCCAGGGAUGAUGGAGAAGCUUUUGCAGCCUUCCAGAAAAUCAGGGUUCCGAAAAGUGGAAGAAAAAAAAUUGUCCAGGAGGAAUCACAGGAAAUAAGAAGGAUAAGCUUGGAGUAUCCAGUCGCCGUGGUAACUGCCAGAAAAAUCCUCCUGAAGUUUGAAGAGGUCAGCUAGCAGGGUCAACAACUCUGGCCUCUUUCUGCGCUCAGCCUGGCAGGCCCCGGCCUGCGGUUGGAGUGUCAAGCGAGGGCUAACCCUGGGAGGUGGGCCAUUCCAGCUCUGAUAUAAAUUUUUUGAGUCAGUUCACGGCUUGGACUCUCCAGGUGGCCUCCAAAAUCGAUGGUGACCUCCUGACCCUGUCUCACGGAGGCAUAGCAUCUAACCCAAGCAAGGGUUUAGCCAAGAAUGACAGCUUUCCAGAAGAUAACCUGGGGAAGAACACAUCCAGAACUAAGAUAUGAAAACAAAAGACAUUUAUAACACUUCCAAAAAAUGAUCCCUCCAUCACCAGCAAAUCACCUGCCUUGACAGGUGUGCCUUCUGCAAUCUUCAUUUGGCUUCUGAUUGUGCGGUCGUAAUUAUCAGUAAGGACAUCGAUUUGGAGCUGGAAUUUGUGCUCUUUGGCCAAGUCAGUAUCCUUCAGUGAAUCUUUAUUUUUGCAUUUCCCUACUUGAGUACAAUUAAAAUGAACAUCUCUUCUCAUUUACGAAUAUGUGGAAGAGCUUGACUAAUUGUCCUGGCAAGUAGACAGACCCCCAAAAGGGCUCUUAGGAGCAAGACUUCAGUGACUCCCAGUGGGACUGGAAAAUCAGCUUUUUUGAUUGUGGGAAGGACAUAUUUGGGGGUUGUUUUGGGCACGACCAAUUUGACAUUCUUCUCCUCCAGGAUGCCAAUAUUUUGCAAAUCUGAAACAGGGACGUGGACUGCAGGCUGUUCGCUUGCAUAUAGAGAUGUCCCAGGUUUAAACCAUCCCACCUUCUGGUGUCUAUUUCAUUAUUAUAGCUGCCUAAUGGUUUAGAACCCUGUAGUUGUGGCCCUCUGAUGAUGUCUUCUGCUCCUCUUCUGUGAAAUGGCCUUCACUGCGUUCUGCUUUUUGAGAAGGAGGCACAUGGAUGAAUUUCUGUACUUUCUAAAGACCCUUCGAUGGAGAACUUGGCAGAAGGGAUGGGAAGAGUUUUGUCAAUGCUCCCGUCCCUUUGGAGAAAAGAUUCAAAAUGGGGGAAGGGGACUGGAGCUCUCAGACCUCGGAGGCUGCAAAAUAGUCCCUCCAUUGCUUUUUCUCAAGAGCCGUAUUUCGUGGCUAUUCCCAAGUCUCUCUGCUUUUCACUUUGCUGUUUCCUCUGCGCUUUCCUAUCUUUUGGUCAUUCCCCAUGAGCUAUGAUAACAUAUAAGGAGCUUAUAGAAAUACUUAUCAAAAUCAGCCGGACACAAUGCUACACUUUCCCUCAUAAUGACAAGCUCCCCUAAUUAUGAAUGACAAGUCAUAAAUUAUGUUUAAACUGGAUUUUCCACUGCAGAUACUCCUCCUGCCACCCAGACAGCCUUAUAAAGUUGCAUUUGUGGCCUUAAUCCCACUUGGAUGGGUGCCCCGCUGCCUGCACUUUCCACCGCUCUGGUCCUUGCGGCUCCUCCAACAAGUGAACAAUCAUUGUUUCUGUACCUUAUUAGGCCAGAGAGCGAAGCGGCUAGUGAUGACAUCGGCAGGCCCCGCAGGCAGGAUUCUGGGCAGACCCAGCCAACCUCCAACAAACCCCUUUUUAUCCUCCUGUUUCUAGGAAGAAUUAUGAUGGUGGUGCCCUGCUGUUGAUCAGUCAAAUCUGUGGUAGGCCUAGAGAUAAGUCCUGUAAGGGUGGUGUACUGUAAGACAGCAGCUCCCAUUCAUUAGGAGUUUGUGUGUAAUAAACCACCAAAAAGAGAGAGGGAGAGAGGCAGCUGCAGAAUCCAGGCACAAACAACACGACCCAUUCUUAGGAGCCAAAAACUUUCUAAUUUGCUGCUGGGCAGCCCUGCUCGGUGCCAUCCUUCCUUCUCCCCCCAGUGGUGCCCUCGAUAUAUUUAGAGUGGGGCUCUAAGGCUCAAGACUGCUCCUUUUGAACCCCCGUUCUUCCCUGCCCACUCCCAUCCCCCAAAGAAAAGUUGCACAUACUCUGACCUAAAAGGAGAAAGGGGAAAAUAAGCAGCGACUACGGCAGCCCUUGUCACUGGAGCGUGCUGGCCUGGGACUUUUAUUCCUGCCAAUUCACUUUUCAAAAACACCAUAGAUUUGAGUUUGCGUUGAACAUUGUUUCAGGGCACUGAUUUCGGGAGGAUGGUACCACCUUCCCGAGGUCCUGGGAGGGGCCCUUGGGGCUGUUUUCCAUCCUGCAUGAGUUUAAUCUCCUUGCUAAUAUCUUCUUUUCAGGCAACAACAGAUUCAAAUGAGUAACAAAGAGAAUUUGGGGAAGGGGACUGCUUCAAGCAAAUAGAAUUCUUGCCUCAGACGCCAAAAGACGCUGCUUUUUUUUUAACUUAAGGGAGGAAACUUUAAUUUCUGUAAUGUACCAGGAGGGAAAAUCACAACUUUAUAGAGUAGCUCACGGAGAGCAAGCCAGACAUUCCUCUGGAGAGGCAGUCGCAGUUUAACAAUUUCCGUUUGAAAAAGGUUUUUUAAAGUACCUGUUGUUUGCACAAAACUACUUGGGCACUGGGGCAAAGGAGCCAAAAAAAAAAAAGUCGGAGAGAUCUUGCCUUCCGGGAGUUUAUAGUCUACUUAGGGUAAGACGACGUGUUGCACAGAUUUAUUCGUUCAAGUAAGAAAUUGUUAACUCCCUAACUUACGUGCCAGGCACUGAGCUGGGCAUUGGGGAUACAAAAACAGUUUCCAUAUCAGUUUCAUUGAUACUAGAUCCCGAGGCAUAGUGUUAGGACAAACCAUUUCAAUUCCAAAGUUUGAUUUGUACAGCACUGUUCAUGAGAGAGAUGGAAGGGUAGAGGAUAGGGUCGAGGGGGAGAGAGCAAUAGUGACAGAGAGAUACAUACUACAUAGAGCACUGGUCAAUACAUAGAGUCAGUACUGAUUGUUGUUUGUCCUUCUUUCCCGAAAAAGACCAUGACCUCAAGGAGGUGAUGCCACGACAUGCAAGUAAAUCGGAGAGGGAGUCAGGAAGACCUAAAUUUAAAUCCUGCCUCUAAAAUUUGCUAGCUGUUCUUUCAUAAAAAAAAAGUCUCUUUUCCUUGCUGAGCCUUAGUUUCCUAAUCUGAAAAAUAGUGAUGACAUUUGUAACAUUUUCCUCACAGCGGGUGUUAUGAGGUUCAAAUCAGAUAAUUAUUCAAAGGACUUUGCAGAAGUUAAAGCGCUACAAAAUGCCAAUUACUCAUUUGCUUAAAAAUCAUCUGUGAUUUUUAAAAAAUGCUGUCAGUUCUUUAAUAAACUUUCU
This is a non-coding RNA of Phascolarctos cinereus (koala), 3623 nucleotides long. NCBI's taxonomy places the organism in Eukaryota, Metazoa, Chordata, Mammalia, Diprotodontia, Phascolarctidae. The record is from RefSeq and is a predicted model, not a curated record.